RNAcentral lists this ribosomal RNA (1530 nucleotides) under Shigella dysenteriae. RNAcentral's name for it is "bacterial SSU rRNA". It matches the Rfam family "Bacterial small subunit ribosomal RNA". Lineage: Bacteria; Pseudomonadati; Pseudomonadota; Gammaproteobacteria; Enterobacterales; Enterobacteriaceae. The record is from RNAcentral.
AAAUUCAAGAGAAAGAUCAUGGCUCAGAUUGAACGCUGGCGGCAGGCCUAACACAUGGUAGUCGAACGGUAACAGGAAGCAGCUUGCUGCUUCGCUGACGAGUGGCGGACGGGUGAGUAAUGUCUGGGAAACUGCCUGAUGGAGGGGGAUAACUACUGGAAACGGUAGCUAAUACCGCAUAACGUCGCAAGACCAAAGAGGGGGACCUUCGGGCCUCUUGCCAUCGGAUGUGCCCAGAUGGGAUUAGCUUGUUGGUGGGGUAACGGCUCACCAAGGCGACGAUCCCUAGCUGGUCUGAGAGGAUGACCAGCCACACUGGUUCUGAGACACGGUCCAGACUCCUACGGGAGGCAGCAGUGGGGAAUAUUGCAGUAUGGGCGCAAGCCUGAUGCAGCCAUGCCGCGUGUAUGAAGAAGGCCUUCGGGUUGUAAAGUACUUUCAGCGGGGAGGAAGGGAGUAAAGUUAAUACCUUUGCUCAUUGACGUUACCCGCAGAAGAAGCACCGGCUAACUCCGUGCCAGCAGCCGCGGUAAUACGGAGGGUGCAAGCGUUAAUCGGAAUUACUGGGCGUAAAGCGCACAUAGGCGGUUUGUUAAGUCAGAUGUGAAAUCCCCGGGCUCAACCUGGGAACUGCAUCUGAUACUGGCAAGCUUGAGUCUCGUAGAGGGGGGUACUAUUCCAGGUGUAGCGGUGAAAUGCGUAGAGAUCUGGAGGAAUACCGGUGGCGAAGGCGGCCCCCUGGACGAAGACUGACGCUCAGGUGCGAAAGCGUGGGGAGCAAACAGGAUUAGAUACCCUGGUAGUCCACGCCGUAAACGAUGUCGACUUGGAGGUUGUGCCCUUGAGGCGUGGCUUCCGGAGCUAACGCGUUAAGUCGACCGCCUGGGGAGUACGGCCGCAAGGUUAAAACUCAAAUGAAUUGACGGGGGCCCGCACAAGCGGUGGAGCAUGUGGUUUAAUUCGAUGCAACGCGAAGAACCUUACCUGGUCUUGACAUCCACGGAAGAAAUCAGAGAUGAGAAUGUGCCUUCGGGAACCGUGAGACAGGUGCUGCAUGGCUGUCGUCAGCUCGUGUUGUGAAAUGUUGGGUUAAGUCCCGCAACGAGCGCAACCCUUAUCCUUUGUUGCCAGCGGUCCGGCCGGGAACUCAAAGGAGACUGCCAGUGAUAAACUGGAGGAAGGUGGGGAUGACGUCAAGUCAUCAUGGCCCUUACGACCAGGGCUACACACGUGCUACAAUGGCGCAUACAAAGAGAAGCGACCUCGCGAGAGCAAGCGGACCUCAUAUUGUGCGUCGUAGUCCGGAUUGGAGUCACCAACUCGACUCCAUGAAGUCGGAAUCGCUAGUAAUCGUGGAUCAGAAUGCCACGGUGAAUACGUUCCCGGGCCUUGUACACACCGCCCGUCACACCAUGGGAGUGGGUUGCAAAAGAAGUAGGUAGCUUAACCUUCGGGAGGGCGCUUACCACUUUGUGAUUCAUGACUGGGGUGAAGUCGUAACAAGGUAACCGUAGGGGAACCUGCGGUUAU